GGUGGUGUAUGGUACACAGCUGCCAGGUUCGAUUCCUGGACAAGUAUAAAGCUGCUUGUAACCAAGGUGGAAAGUAAGAGGUUGUCGGUUCGAAUCCGACCGCCACCA
This 108-nucleotide transfer RNA is filed under the name Roseburia sp. RNAcentral's name for it is "tRNA-OTHER". The record is from RNAcentral. Lineage: Bacteria; Bacillati; Bacillota; Clostridia; Lachnospirales; Lachnospiraceae.